GAUGAACGCUGGCGGCGUGCCUAACACAUGCAAGUCGAACGAAGCGCCUUUUAAGAUUCUUCGGAUGAUUGAUUGGUGACUGAGUGGCGGACGGGUGAGUAACGCGUGGGUAACCUGCCCUGUACAGGGGGAUAACAGUUGGAAACGGCUGCUAAUACCGCAUAAGCGCACGAGAGGACAUCCUCUUGUGUGAAAAACUCCGGUGGUACAGGAUGGGCCCGCGUCUGAUUAGCUGGUUGGCAGGGUAACGGCCUACCAAGGCGACGAUCAGUAGCCGGUCUGAGAGGAUGAACGGCCACAUUGGAACUGAGACACGGUCCAAACUCCUACGGGAGGCAGCAGUGGGGAAUAUUGCACAAUGGGGGAAACCCUGAUGCAGCAACGCCGCGUGAGUGAAGAAGUAUUUCGGUAUGUAAAGCUCUAUCAGCAGGGAAGAUAAUGACGGUACCUGACUAAGAAGCUCCGGCUAAAUACGUGCCAGCAGCCGCGGUAAUACGUAUGGAGCAAGCGUUAUCCGGAUUUACUGGGUGUAAAGGGUGCGUAGGUGGCAGUGCAAGUCAGAUGUGAAAGGCCGGGGCUCAACCCCGGAGCUGCAUUUGAAACUGCAUAGCUAGAGUACAGGAGAGGCAGGCGGAAUUCCUAGUGUAGCGGUGAAAUGCGUAGAUAUUAGGAGGAACACCAGUGGCGAAGGCGGCCUGCUGGACUGUUACUGACACUGAGGCACGAAAGCGUGGGGAGCAAACAGG
This 746-nucleotide ribosomal RNA is filed under the name uncultured Lachnospiraceae bacterium. Its description in RNAcentral is "bacterial SSU rRNA". It matches the Rfam family "Bacterial small subunit ribosomal RNA", at positions 28 to 776 of the family's 1533-position model. Lineage: Bacteria; Bacillati; Bacillota; Clostridia; Lachnospirales; Lachnospiraceae. The record is from RNAcentral.